UGGAAGAUGAAUGGGAAAUAUCAAAAAGGAAAAGGAAUAAAGUUAAUCCAUCAAAUGGUAUUAUGAUCUUAAAGGAACAAGCAUGUGAAAUUUGGAGAAGAAAAAAGAAAAUAGUACUUCAACAUUUUUAUUUUUUCAUUCUGGUUAUUUUCUACUGCAAUACAUGGUCAUUUCUAGAUACACAAGCAACAUUUUUACAGUCAAAAUAGCAAGGAAACUACUCAUAUAUGGGCAUGUGUUCAUCUCCCAAUUCAAGAUUUUGGUAUUUCCUUUCAAUGUUAUAGUUGCAGCUUUCCUUGUUCAUUCUGGAGGACAAGAAUGAUAUCAAGAAAAGGGAAAUGCUAUGAUAAUAAGAAGAAUAAGAGCUGGGGGAUUGUUAAGGAGAAUAUAUUGUAUAUGUAGGAUGUGUAGGAGAAUAUACUGUACAAAUGGAAAGCAAUGUAACUGAUUGUAUAGAAGGCUAUAUUGUAUAAAUAGGGAACAUUGUAACUGAUUGAGAAGUGAAGAAUUCAAUAAUACAAGACAACAAUUCCUUCUCUCUCUAUAAUUCUCUUUUUCUCUCUACUUCUCAUCCCUAUUUCUUCUAUUCUCUCAUCUCCUUUCUUAUUAUUAUUUGAAGCAGAACCGUAGCUCAGGGAUUUUGUGGCAGCAAUGUAUUCAUUAAAGGAUGUGGAUAUAUGCAUAUUAUAGUCUAUACAAACGUACCUAAGCUAUUUUAUUAUGUGUGGAGGUGAAUGGAAAGAGAAUGGAAGAUGAAUAGAAAGGGAAUGGAAAUGAGGUGAAUGACUGAAUGGUUUUGAUUUUGCUAUCUUAUCUAUCUUAUUCCUCUUUCUUUUCCAUCUAUUUAUCUAUCUAUCUAUUUUAAUUUAGCUAACAAAUAGUGUCAAACCAUAAUUGCUAACAAGUGGUAUCAGAGCACAACUGCUAACAAUUAUAUCUAUCUGCAUACUUUUUGUUGUUCUGAACUUUUCUUCAUAUUUACUCCAAUUUGUCUCUUAUGAUUAUUCAUGUUUUGAAUUUUUAUUUUUUUACUGUUCCUUAAUCCUGAUAAUAUUUCCAUUAUUCAGGUAGUUGAAUAAUCCAAUUUAGACAAAACUACUCUUUCUAACUCUCUUCACUUUAUCUCUUGUACAUGAGGUUGCAUGCACAUGUACAUGCACAGAACCUUGGGAAAAGUUGGGACUGUAUGUCCAGGAGUGCCUCCAUUAGCUUUUCUGAAUUGAGAUUUUAGACUUCUUCAUUGGCUUAAAUACAGUCACCUUAACUAUGAAUUGCAAUGAAGUUCAGUUAUUUAUAAUGUAGUUAAAGUUAAAACAGCAAUCUGCUUUGUGAAAUUUUUUUCAUUUCAAAUAUGAUUAGUCCAGAAACUGGAAUUUAACUUGCAAAAGUUUAAGAAACUUGAAAAUCUUGCACAUAUGUCUCUGUAAUUUGUUUAGUGGGUUAGAAAGAGGGGUGGAGUACUUGCACGUGACCAUGCAAUUAUUUACACCCAAAGAAAAAGCAAUAUUACCAUGAACAGUGAUUGGCAUGUGUCGAACACACAGACAAGCCUGCAAUAUGCCUUCGUUUAAUUUUAUUUGCAUGUUUUGAAUCAAUUGUGAUUAUUGCCACAUAGUGAUGUUCCUAUUCCUGUUCUGUGUUCUCAAGUAUUAGCAAUUUGCUGAGCAAGACUGCAAUACAAGAGCCUACAUUUGAAAGGAUAAUAGUAGUUUACAGGAAAGCAAGCAACAAAACAAAAAAGGAACGGGGAAUCUACGUGAAGCAUUUCCAGAAAAUUCCAAUGGCUGAUAUGGAAAUAGUUCUUCCUGAAAAGAAGAAUCCUGGGUUAACUCCAGUGGACUGGGUUCGGUUCCUGGGUUCUGCUAUAGUUGGACUGCUAUCAGCAGAACUUGGCUACAUAUCAGAAAUUAAUUACCCAGUUCAUGUACGACAAACAACUAGAUAGUGGAAGGGGUACGCUUCUUCACCUGUGUGACAAUGUCAUUCAACAGGAAGUCAAAGAAGUUAUCAUUUCAUUCUUUAUAUUGAUGAUACAGGGCAAAGCCACAAAGAAGGAGUUGGAUGAGCGUUGCAAAAAAACUAAUAAAAAAAAAGUUUGGCAAGAGCUGUAAUUUUGAUGUAGACGAUGCAGUCCAAAAAUUAGAGAAGUUGCGAAUUAUUGUCCGGGAUGCUAAUGGACAGUAUAGUUGUGUUGAUAUAAGAAGUGCUAAUGAAGUUAUUGGCACCACCACUGAAGAGAUUGUCCUCAAUGUGGAACAACAGGGCAAUGACAUGCCUUGUUGUUGCUUGGAAAAUUUGUGAUUCCUUGCAAAAUCUGAUGCUUUUAAACCUUGAACUGCAGUUGACAGUUCCUGGAGUGCCACUGCUUUCUCCAUUGUUCUAUACUUCUGUUCUCUGUUAAUAUAUGUAAAUCUUGAACGUGUAACUUGAUGAAUCCGAUAAUGGAUGGUGGUAUGGAUUAGCAAACAGUAAAUUGGCAGACAUAAUCAAUUAUUUAUAUCUAUAUCUAUAUAAAUAUAAUAAAGCUGAUCUUUAAAGUAAGU
RNAcentral lists this unclassified non-coding RNA (2543 nucleotides) under Hevea brasiliensis (rubber tree). The record is from RNAcentral. Lineage: Eukaryota; Viridiplantae; Streptophyta; Magnoliopsida; Malpighiales; Euphorbiaceae.